AGAGUUUGAUCAUGGCUCAGAUUGAACGCUGGCGGUAGGCUUAACACAUGCAAGUCGUGCGAGAAAGUACCUUCGGGUGCGAGUAGAGCGGCGGACGGGUGAGUAACGCGUAGGAAUCUACCUAGUAGAAGGGGAUAGCCCGGGGAAACUCGGAUUAAUACCGUAUACCUCCUUGGGGAGAAAGAGGGCUUAGCUUUGAUGCUCUCGCUAUUAGAUGAGCCUGCGUAAGAUUAGCUUGUUGGUGAGGUAAUGGCUCACCAAGGCGACGAUCUUUAGCUGGUCUGAGAGGACGAUCAGCCACAUUGGGACUGAGACACGGCCCAGACUCCUACGGGAGGCAGCAGUGGGGAAUAUUGGACAAUGGGCGCAAGCCUGAUCCAGCCAUACCGCGUGUGUGAAGAAGGCUUUCGGGUUGUAAAGCACUUUAAGUAAGGAGGAAAAGAUUGUAGUUAAUACCUUCAAUCCGUGACGUUACUUACAGAAUAAGGACCGGCUAAUUCCGUGCCAGCAGCCGCGGUAAUACGGAAGGUCCAAGCGUUAAUCGGAAUUACUGGGCGUAAAGCGCGCGUAGGUGGUUUUUUAAGUUGGAUGUGAAAGCCCUGGGCUCAACCUAGGAACUGCAUCCAAAACUAGAUGACUAGAGUACGAAAGAGGGAAGUAGAAUUCACAGUGUAGCGGUGGAAUGCGUAGAUAUUGUGAAGAAUACCAAUGGCGAAGGCAGCUUCCUGGUUCUGUACUGACACUGAGGUGCGAAAGCGUGGGUAGCGAACAGGAUUAGAUACCCUGGUAGUCCACGCCGUAAACGAUGACAACUAGCUGUUGGG
This 824-nucleotide ribosomal RNA is filed under the name uncultured bacterium. RNAcentral describes it as "bacterial SSU rRNA". It matches the Rfam family "Bacterial small subunit ribosomal RNA", at positions 8 to 827 of the family's 1533-position model. The record is from RNAcentral.